Asterias rubens (European starfish) is the source of this 1119-nucleotide long non-coding RNA. RefSeq lists it as uncharacterized. NCBI's taxonomy places the organism in Eukaryota, Metazoa, Echinodermata, Asteroidea, Forcipulatida, Asteriidae. The transcript has 4 exons. The record is from RefSeq and is a predicted model, not a curated record.
CUCAUCACAUCCCGUGGAAACUCUCGUUAAGUCUUCACAUUUUGUUGGAGUAGCCUAGGCCAUACCUAGGCUUAUAUUAUUCGUAGUUUUCCGGAUUAAGGUUUGUAUUUUCUGAGCUUAGCCAAUGUAGGACACAAUACAACACAUGAAAGCUGCUUGCUUGGUUGCACAAUGGUAAGAUUUCCCACACAGCGCUGGGGCCACAGAGAAUACCAGUUUUGAAGUUGAGUGACCCAGUGGUGCACUAAAGGUUGCUUUCAUCACCGCCGGACCAACACAAGCCCCCAACUUUAUUUGUUUAUAUUUCAAGUGCAUUGUCAAUAUGUGUGGUGGUAUACAACAGACGAGACAACUUCAUCACUGUGCGCUCAAUAGAUGCGCUUUCACGCCAUUCAGCGACUGCAGAAAGAUUGCUCUGAAAGUCCAGCGGUUAGUUGGUUUUGUGUCUCUCUUUCUUCUGCAACUGCAACAAAAUUGUGGAGAAGUCUCGCCAGGGAACAGUUUACCAACCAAUGGGGAUGAGGAUGAGGAUGGUGGAACAUACACCAAACCCAGCUGACAUCUCAUACUACUAAACUAAGCCAGAAGGCCAGAGAUGGCAUCAGUUGUAAAGGAGGAAUGCGUUUCCAUGGAUUCUGCUCUAAAAGACAACACAGUAGACGAUGCUUCCUUCUGUACGUCUUUAAAUGACAAAUCUGAAGGUAACUAAGCUAUGAAUAAUUGUGGCCGUGUUCGAUAACAACGGUUGUUGGUUUAAACCAGGGAGGGUGGCAAUUAGAUUACGGCCCCUGAAUCCAACAGCCAAGGUGUUUUACUACUCAGGGUCUGGUAAAACAGGAAAUCUUUACUCGGCAGUCAAUUUAAGAAUCAAGCAUAAGAACUCUUUGUCUCCCAUUAAUGAAAAUGAGAGAUAAUGAAGGUAACCUUAGCCAUAAGGAAAAAUGAACAGAAGAGAAACAAAACAGGGAUUCUACAAACCUGUAUCCUCAGAGAAAAUCCUAAACUACUACCAUUUUUAAAGGUACUGGACACUGUCGGUAAUCACUCAAUUGUUAGCAGUUUAUUUGGUAAUGAGCAAUAAAGAGCUGUUGAUAGUAUAAAACCUUUGAGAAAUGGCUC